UACGGAGGAUGCAAGCGUUAUCCGGAUUUAUUGGGUUUAAAGGGUGCGCAGGUUGUUUGAUAAGUCAGUGGUGAAAGUCUGUCGCUUAACGGUAGGAUUGCCAUUGAUACUGUUAGACUUGAAUAUGGAUGAGGUAGGCGGAAUGUGUAGUGUAGCGGUGAGAUGCAUAGAUAUUACACAGAACACCGAUUGCGAAGGCAGCUUACUAAUCCAUCAUUGACGCUGAGGCACGAAAGCGUGGGGAUCAAA
Molecule: ribosomal RNA, 249 nt
Filed under: uncultured prokaryote
Description: partial 16S ribosomal RNA
Rfam family: Bacterial small subunit ribosomal RNA
Source: RNAcentral